RNAcentral lists this ribosomal RNA (450 nucleotides) under uncultured bacterium. Its description in RNAcentral is "partial 16S ribosomal RNA". It matches the Rfam family "Bacterial small subunit ribosomal RNA", at positions 354 to 796 of the family's 1533-position model. The record is from RNAcentral.
GUGGGGAAUAUUGGACAAUGGGCGAAAGCUUGAUCCAGCCAUGCCGCGUGUGUGAAGAAGGUCUUCGGAUUGUAAAGCACUUUAAGUUGGGAGGAAGGGUAGUAACCUAAUACGUUGCUACUUUGACGUUACCGACAGAAUAAGCACCGGCUAACUUCGUGCCAGCAGCCGCGGUAAUACGAAGGGUGCAAGCGUUAAUCGGAAUUACUGGGCGUAAAGCGCGCGUAGGUGGUUUUGUAAGUUGGAGGUGAAAUCCCCGGGCUCAACCUGGGAACUGCCUCCAAAACUGCAUGACUAGAGUACGGUAGAGGGUAGUGGAAUUUCCUGUGUAGCGGUGAAAUGCGUAGAUAUAGGAAGGAACACCAGUGGCGAAGGCGACUACCUGGACUGAUACUGACACUGAGGUGCGAAAGCGUGGGGAGCAAACAGGAUUAGAAACCCGAGUAGUCC